UACGGAGGGUGCAAGCGUUAUCCGGAAUCACUGGGCGUAAAGGGCGCGUAGGUGGUCUGUUAAGUCUGGCGUUAAAGCCUGGGGCUCAACCCCAGAUCAGCGUUGGAUACUGGCAGGCUAGACGGUUGGAGAGGCGAGUGGAAUUACCAGUGUAGCGGUGGAAUGCGUAGAUACUGGUAGGAACACCCAUUGCGAAGGCAGCUCGCUGGACAACACGUGACACUGAGGCGCGAAAGUGUGGGGAGCAAGCAGGAUUAGAUA
Molecule: ribosomal RNA, 261 nt
Filed under: uncultured prokaryote
Description: partial 16S ribosomal RNA
Rfam family: Bacterial small subunit ribosomal RNA
Source: RNAcentral